UACAAAAAGAAGAAUGCCAAAUGCCCUCCGUCUCCUGACAGCAGAUCUGAGGCCUCUGAGAAACUGAAUCCAGACUCUCAGUGAUGAACACAGCAGCCUGCACACAGUGAGGUGCUUCAUAUGGGACAUGAACUAUUCACACCUGUUGUUGAACAAAGCCGCCCUAAACUAUGUGCAGAAGACCCGUCUGUGAUCCUUUAUCCGCUGUGACACCUCUGUGACCGCAUUCAGAAUUAUGAGCUUUGUAGUAUUUUAAAAUGUAACAUUACCUUCUCUUGUGGACCAGCCUCAUCUGAGCCUGUGUACAGUCAGAAGACACAAAGUCAUGUACAGAAAUCAUACAUUUAAAUAUCUUAAUGUAAUUCUUUACAUAGUGUACAGUGUUUAGUCCAGACAAUUAUUAACUUCAGAAAUGAUUAUUAUUACCGUAGCCAAGGCAUUCUUUCUGGAUUAUUUGUUACCUGAGCUGGUGAAGGUCCAAGACACAAACUUGAUAAGACCGUAAAGCACCAGCGCUACACCGACCAUUGCCAUUGAGUCCUCAAUGGAGGGAGUACUGAAACCUGAGAAGACAAAAGAACAGAAUUCAAGUCUUAAUUGAUUCCCAUUUAAAUGACUUGUAUCGUUGUUAUCAAGCUUAAUGAAAAUAAUUCAUUUAACCUUCAACAAUCAACCUUUAAGAGUGACAUAUUCCACCAGAGCCAUCAUAUAUAUUAGGUGUGUUAAAAUAAUCUUAUCUCCAUUGAAAUGUUAUUUUUAAAGAGGAUAAGCUUUGCCAUUCAUGAGUAUGUUUUUACCAAGCUGCUAUGCUGAAGUGCCAAAAACGGCAACUUGAGGCUGGCCCCAAAAGGGAGUCGAUCCCAAUAGACCCCCAUGUUAAAAUGCCCAACUUUACACCAGAAAUAAACAUGUUUACAACCUGGUACAAAAACGGUGUUCAUUUUUAUAUAACGCACCUGUUUGAAUUAUAUAAAGCCUUAAAGUUAUGCAUAAUUAAGGGCGUGGCAGCUUUGAGCCACAGGUGUGUACCAUCACAGGUGGCUAUCCGCUAGCUGUCUGCUGCGUCACCGCCUCAUCUCCAUCAACGAUCCACCUCUUUACCUAAUUUUGGAUUAGCCGGGAGUUAGGCCGUGUUAUCACGGCGAAGAUGGCGAUGGCUGAAGCCACUCACUUUGAGCUUCACAACAGCUCUUCAGAAACCAAUAAAUGAAGACGUGGAGACUACGUUCAUAUUUAUGGUCUAUGGUUUUUUACUGGCCCACAGCAUAAAAUUACCGUAAUCUAGCUCAGUGAGCACCAGUCACUUUACAGCAUCUGUCAAAGUCAUAAAUGAUGACUUGAAAUGUAUAUCAUUAUAACCAAAAUCCCAAACAAUGGACUUACAUCACACUAUCAGUUUUACAUUUAUAUAUCUGCCUCUGCUAAUUCACCCAUUAAUAUCUUGGCAAUGUGCAGAAAAAUCCUUAUCUGGCCUCUGUCUUGUUAUGGAAUAAAAAGAUCAAAACCAUUGUCGCCAAAAGAGCUUCAUAAAUGUCUAAAACAACAAAAGUAUUCCACAUUACCAAUGACAUUGAGGGUUACGCUGGCCCGUCGUGUUCCUCCAAGAUGGACAGCCACACAGGUGACCUCCCCUCCUCUGCCCAGGUCCAGCUUCGUUGUGUCAAGCUCCAGCCGGGUGCUCUGGCUAUAGGUUCCAUCCCAGGCCUGCCUGUGGCCUGUUACGCUGCCUGAUCCCAGAGGCCUGGACUUCCCAUCGGUGCCUUUAAACUCCCAGCUCAGUUCCAGGGAGAGGGGGGCAAAGCCAGACGCCUCACACUGGACAGUCAAAGUCUGGCCGUGAACAGCGAGGGGCAGAGCGGACGGGUAAAUGGAGAGGGAUGGAGGUUCUAGGUCGAAGGAGGAACGAAUGGAAGAGCAAAGAAAAGAGGAACGACAAUAAGAGAAAGUUAAUCAAAAUAAUCUGGUUCCCAAUUAAAUCUGGGUUAUUCAGGACCUUACUAUGUGCUGUUAUAUUUUCUAACAGAAUCAUUUGUUUAUUUCAGUUAUUUGACAGCAGACACUAAACAAUUACAGGCUUCAUGUGACUGCCAACAUUGACAGUCACUGAUUAAUAGUUAGAGAUAGAACUUUCUUUGAGAGCAGAGGCCAAGGGUUAGAAGAAUAAUCUCACAAUUAACAUUUUUAAGCAUGCAGGUAUGUUUUAAAACACACAACAAGAAGUACAAUCUUUUCCCUCACCUACAACCUCAAGCUCCACCGCCACCUGAGCCACAAGGUACGGCAGAUACACCGUACAAAUAUACAUCCCGGAGUGGCGCACUUUAGCCUCCUGCAGGAUCAGAGACGCAUUUCCUUUCCUGUGCAAACCCUCGAAGUCCAGUGUGGCCCCUUCCUCUUGUGUAUCAGCCAAGCGGUCCGUUUUCCCGUCGUAGGCCAGAACCAAACGUCCGUCGCCUCUGAAUUGGUAGCGCCACUCUACGGCAAACCCCGACCCGGAUAGAGGUGAAGGGGGGUAGGCCCAGAAGCCACAAUCCAGUAGCACUGGUUCCCCGAGUCUGGACUGCACUGAGACGGUUUUACUGGUCACACUGAGGAUCACUGAGGAAACGGACAGUGAGGAGAAAAUAUUUUCUUUGACACAAUGUGGCAAAACAAGGAGGACGAGAAGCUUCGAUGGCCUGGCAGGGACAAAUGACAUAACAACCAUUGACCGCUCUUUCUUCCUUUGUGUGCCAAAAUUACAAAUCCUGCCAGAGCUGUGUGUCACACACCAACACAGAAACGAAACCUACCAGACUCAUCAGAUGAUUUCUCAGAAACAGUACAGAGGGAUGUGCUGUUUGUGCCCAGUGGAGGAGCUCUAACACUGUUACUGAGUCCUGAAAAGGCAACUAUCAUUAAUGCCACUGGCCUACAUUCAUAGCUGCACUUUAAACCUGGCUUAGUUUGGUGAUCUACCUCAUAUAUGAGGAAUAGAAACAGAGACAUAAGAAAGUUGUUAAUCAAGUUGCAUUCUGGGUUCAAUGUGAGUCACUGCCUCUGCCUGUUCGACGAUGAUUUAAUUGUUUUAAUAUGUUAUCUGGAGACUUUCAUUCCUGUGUUUAUAAAACAAUUAAAAGCCCCAAAUUAAAACACAUGUCUUCUUAUAUUCUUGAUCUACUGUAAAAUAAUAAAGCAUGUGAGUAAAGUGUAA
Molecule: long non-coding RNA, 3193 nt
Organism: Cottoperca gobio
Lineage: Eukaryota; Metazoa; Chordata; Actinopteri; Perciformes; Bovichtidae
Exons: 3
Source: RefSeq, a predicted model, not a curated record